This 100-nucleotide non-coding RNA is filed under the name Carnobacterium iners. RNAcentral's name for it is "Guanine sequence". It matches the Rfam family "Purine riboswitch aptamer". From Rfam's summary of the family: Riboswitches are metabolite binding domains within certain messenger RNAs that serve as precision sensors for their corresponding targets. Allosteric rearrangement of mRNA structure is mediated by ligand binding, and this results in modulation of gene expression. A class of riboswitches that selectively recognises guanine and becomes saturated at concentrations as low as 5 nM. Lineage: Bacteria; Bacillati; Bacillota; Bacilli; Lactobacillales; Carnobacteriaceae. The record is from Rfam by way of RNAcentral.
GGAGACGAAGAAAUACACUCUAAUAUAAUUAAGCGAUAUGGGCUUUAAGUUUCUACCGGACACCGUAAAUGAUCCGACUAUUAGGGGAAAGCUGCUUUUU